GACGAACGCUGGCGGCGUGCUUAACACAUGCAAGUCGUACGGUAAGGCCCUUUCGGGGGUACACGAGUGGCGAACGGGUGAGUAACACGUGAGUAACCUGCCCACAACUUUGGGAUAACGCUAGGAAACUGGUGCUAAUACUGGAUAUGUGCUCCUGCUGCAUGGUGGGGGUUGGAAAGCUCCGGCGGUUGUGGAUGGACUCGCGGCCUAUCAGCUUGUUGGUGGGGUAGUGGCCUACCAAGGCGGCGACGGGUAGCCGGCCUGAGAGGGUGACCGGCCACAUUGGGACUGAGAUACGGCCCAGACUCCUACGGGAGGCAGCAGUGGGGAAGAUUGCACAAUGGGCGCAAGCCUGAUGCAGCAACGCCGCGUGCGGGAUGACGGCCUUCGGGUUGUAAACCGCUUUCAGCAGGGACGAAGCUUUUUGUGACGGUACCUGCAGAAGAAGCACCGGCUAACUACGUG
Molecule: ribosomal RNA, 465 nt
Filed under: uncultured bacterium
Lineage: Bacteria
Description: partial 16S ribosomal RNA
Rfam family: Bacterial small subunit ribosomal RNA
Source: RNAcentral